GUCCUCGUGGUGUAAUGGUCAGCACACUCAGCGCCUGCGCAGGAGGUCCAGGUUCGAGUCCCGGCGGGGGCA
Molecule: transfer RNA, 72 nt
Filed under: Stegodyphus mimosarum
Lineage: Eukaryota; Metazoa; Arthropoda; Arachnida; Araneae; Eresidae
Rfam family: tRNA
About the family: Transfer RNA (tRNA) molecules are approximately 80 nucleotides in length. Their secondary structure includes four short double-helical elements and three loops (D, anti-codon, and T loops).
Source: Rfam by way of RNAcentral